Molecule: ribosomal RNA, 492 nt
Filed under: uncultured bacterium
Lineage: Bacteria
Description: partial 16S ribosomal RNA
Rfam family: Bacterial small subunit ribosomal RNA
Source: RNAcentral
AGUGAACGCUGGCGGUAGGCCUAACACAUGCAAGUCGAACGGCAGCACAGUAAGAGCUUGCUCUUACGGGUGGCGAGUGGCGGACGGGUGAGGAAUACAUCGGAAUCUACUUUUUCGUGGGGGAUAACGUAGGGAAACUUACGCUAAUACCGCAUACGACCUACGGGUGAAAGCAGGGGAUCUUCGGACCUUGCGCGAUUGAAUGAGCCGAUGUCGGAUUAGCUAGUUGGCGGGGUAAAGGCCGACCAAGGCGACGAUCCGUAGCUGGUCUGAGAGGAUGAUCGGCCACACGGGAACUGAGACACGGUCCAGACUCCUACGAGAGGCAGCAGUGGGGAAUAUUGGACAAUGGUCGCAAGCAUGAUCCAGCCAUACCGCGUGGGUGAAGAAGGCCUUCGGGUUGUAAAGCCCUUUUGUUGGGAAAGAAAAGCAGCAGGUUAAUACCCCGCUGUUCUGACGGUACCCAAAGAAUAAGCACCGGCUAACUUCGUG